CUCCUUUAUUGGAUGAGAGUCUGUUCACUUGAAGCUAGCUCUUAUAGUAAGCGACGGUCUGAGGAACAACAUACAGUAACAGCGCUUUUUGUACAGACUGAACGAUAAUCCUGUUAUUUACAGGAACUGGGUCGAAUCAUCUUGAUGUAAAGAAAGAACAUGCGAUUUAAAUGGAUGGAAUAGAAUACUGGCAAGACUAGUGAUGCGAAUAGUAUUCAAGUUCAAUCUCGUGAUGUCCGAAGAACUGGGACUCAUUCUGCGUGGAUAUUUUACGAUACCCUAACACACGUGGAAAAAGUUGUUCUGUUUCAUCUACAUUCGUCUGUCGUAGAUGUGUUUGGCGGUGUCACUCAAUGUUGUGCGGUUUGAAGCCCAUUACGACACGCGCACGCUCCAUACGGACCAAUCAAUAGCAGACGAACAAUCCGCCCACUGUCGUCUGCGUUUGAAGAGAGUGUAGUAGAUGUUUUCAUUUCCCGCCAGAACCGCAGUGAGGUUGGGAAGGAUACCUGCUCGAGCUGCUAAUCUGUGAUCAGAAUUUGUGCUCUUCAUUUUUUUUUCAAUCUGUGAAUCAGUAUACCGAGUUACUCGAGGCCCGUCAUCAAUUGCAUUUACUUGAAAAAUUGAAAAUUAUAACACUGGCCCUGAGUAUCUACCUACAUAGCCUAUGCAUGAUUGAAAAAAAACAUCUGAUGCCAUGGAAGAGAAGAAUAUGGCUUCCUGAACAAUGGUGAUUGAGGUUCCACUGAUAGACUAAGAAGGAUUGUUAAAAAAAUGCUGUAUAACGUCGAAUAAUUCAAGCUAAAUGGACUUCAUUUUUUACCAAAAAUAACGUCAGACGCAUCGUGUUACGGAUGUAACUAAAACAGAAAAUUUAGGUGAAUUGAUUGUUGAUACAACAUACAAACUUAUUGUUCAUUUCUCCCAUGAAGAACACGAACGAACUAAGAUAAAUAAUUACAAAAACAAAGAGAACAUUCUAAUCAAAUCGUAAAUAAUUCAACUGGAGCAUCA
Lytechinus variegatus (green sea urchin) is the source of this 1014-nucleotide long non-coding RNA. RefSeq lists it as uncharacterized. NCBI's taxonomy places the organism in Eukaryota, Metazoa, Echinodermata, Echinoidea, Temnopleuroida, Toxopneustidae. The record is from RefSeq and is a predicted model, not a curated record. The transcript is spliced from 4 exons.